This 879-nucleotide ribosomal RNA is filed under the name uncultured bacterium. RNAcentral describes it as "bacterial SSU rRNA". It matches the Rfam family "Bacterial small subunit ribosomal RNA", at positions 8 to 916 of the family's 1533-position model. The record is from RNAcentral.
AGAGUUUGAUCGUGGCUCAGGAUGAACGCUGGCGGCGUGCCUAACACAUGCAAGUCGAGCGAUUCUCUUCGGAGAAGAGCGGCGGACGGGUGAGUAACGCGUGGGUAACCUGCCCUGUACACACGGAUAACAUACCGAAAGGUAUGCUAAUACGGGAUAAUGUGCUUUUAUCGCAUGGUAGAAGUAUCAAAGCUCCGGCGGUACAGGAUGGACCCGCGUCUGAUUAGCUAGUUGGUAAGGUAACGGCUUACCAAGGCGACGAUCAGUAGCCGACCUGAGAGGGUGAUCGGCCACAUUGGAACUGAGACACGGUCCAAACUCCUACGGGAGGCAGCAGUGGGGAAUAUUGCACAAUGGGCGAAAGCCUGAUGCAGCAACGCCGCGUGAGCGAUGAAGGCCUUCGGGUCGUAAAGCUCUGUCCUCAAGGAAGAUAAUGACGGUACUUGAGGAGGAAGCCCCGGCUAACUACGUGCCAGCAGCCGCGGUAAUACGUAGGGGGCUAGCGUUAUCCGGAAUUACUGGGCGUAAAGGGUGCGUAGGUGGUUUCUUAAGUCAGAAGUGAAAGGCUACGGCUCAACCGUAGUAAGCUUUUGAAACUGAGAAACUUGAGUGCAGGAGAGGAGAGUAGAAUUCCUAGUGUAGCGGUGAAAUGCGUAGAUAUUAGGAGGAAUACCAGUUGCGAAGGCGGCUCUCUGGACUGUAACUGACACUGAGGCACGAAAGCGUGGGGAGCAAACAGGAUUAGAUACCCUGGUAGUCCACGCCGUAAACGAUGAGUACUAGCUGUCGGAGGUUACCCCCUUCGGUGGCGCAGCUAACGCAUUAAGUACUCCGCCUGGGAAGUACGCUCGCAAGAGUGAAACUCAAAGGAAUUGACGG